RNAcentral lists this transfer RNA (69 nucleotides) under Muscidifurax similadanacus. RNAcentral describes it as "tRNA-Pro". Lineage: Eukaryota; Metazoa; Arthropoda; Insecta; Hymenoptera; Pteromalidae. The record is from RNAcentral.
CAAAAAAUAGUUUAUUUAAAAUAUUAAUUCUGGAAAUUAAUGAAAUAUAUAUAUAUAAUAUUUUUUUGA